UGGGGAAUCUUCCGCAAUGGGCGAAAGCCUGACGGAGCAACGCCGCGUGAGUGAAGACGGCCUUCGGGUUGUAAAGCUCUGUUAUACGGGACGAAUAAUCUUGUGGUUAAUACCCAUGAGAAGUGACGGUACCGUAAGAGAAAGCCACGGCUAACUACGUGCCAGCAGCCGCGGUAAUACGUAGGUGGCAAGCGUUGUCCGGAAUUAUUGGGCGUAAAGGGCGCGCAGGCGGCUUCUUAAGUCUGUCUUAAAAGUGCGGGGCUUAACCCCGUGAUGGGAUGGAAACUGGGAAGCUCAGAGUAUCGGAGAGGAAAGCGGAAUUCCUAGUGUAGCGGUGAAAUGCGUAGAUAUUAGGAGGAACACCAGUGGCGAAAGCGGCUUUCUGGACGAAAACUGACGCUGAGGCGCGAAAGCCAGGGGAGCGAACG
RNAcentral lists this ribosomal RNA (428 nucleotides) under uncultured bacterium. RNAcentral's name for it is "bacterial SSU rRNA". It matches the Rfam family "Bacterial small subunit ribosomal RNA", at positions 355 to 774 of the family's 1533-position model. The record is from RNAcentral. RNAcentral also lists the same sequence under 1 other name.